GGGGGAUAUUGCACAAUGGAGGAAACUCUGAUGCAGCAACGCCGCGUGAGCGAUGAAGGCCUUCGGGUUGUAAAGCUCUGUCUUCUCUGACGAUGAUGACGGUAAGAGAGGAGGAAGCCACGGCUAGCUACGUGCCAGCAGCCGCGGUAAUACGUAGGUGGCAAGCGUUGUCCGGAAUUAUUGGGCGUAAAGGAUGCGUAGGCGGUCUUUUAAGUGGGAUGUGAAAUACCCGGGCUUAACCUGGGAAUGGCAUUCCAAACUGGAAGACUAGAGUGCAGGAGAGGAAAGUGGAAUUCCCAGUGUAGCGGUGAAAUGCGUAGAGAUUGGGAGGAACACCAGUGGCGAAGGCGACUUUCUGGACUGUAACUGACGCUGAGGCAUGAAAGCGUGGGGAGCAAAC
Molecule: ribosomal RNA, 400 nt
Filed under: uncultured bacterium
Lineage: Bacteria
Description: bacterial SSU rRNA
Rfam family: Bacterial small subunit ribosomal RNA
Source: RNAcentral